GACGAACGCUGGCGGCGUGCCUAAUACAUGCAAGUCGAACGAGGAUUUCUUACACUGAGUGCUUGCACUCACCGUAAGAAAUUCGAGUGGCGGACGGGUGAGUAACACGUGGGUAACCUGCCCAAAAGAAGGGGGAUAACAUUUGGAAACAAAUGCUAAUACCGUAUAACCAUGAUGACCGCAUGGUCAUUAUGUAAAAGGUGGUUUUGCUAUCGCUUUUGGAUGGACCCGCGGCGUAUUAACUAGUUGGUAGGGUAACGGCUUACCAAGGUGAUGAUACGUAGCCGAGUUGAGAGACUGAUCGGCCACAAUAGGACUGAGACACGGCCCAUACUCCUACGGGAGGCAGCAGUAGGGAAUCUUCCACAAUGGGCGCAAGCCUGAUGGAGCAACACCGCGUGAGUGAAGAAGGGUUUCGGAUCGUAAAACUCUGUUGUUAGAGAAGAACACGAG
This 453-nucleotide ribosomal RNA is filed under the name uncultured Lactobacillus sp. RNAcentral's name for it is "bacterial SSU rRNA". It matches the Rfam family "Bacterial small subunit ribosomal RNA", at positions 28 to 455 of the family's 1533-position model. The record is from RNAcentral. Lineage: Bacteria; Bacillati; Bacillota; Bacilli; Lactobacillales; Lactobacillaceae.